GAUGAACGCUGGCGGCGUGCUUAACACAUGCAAGUCGAACGGAAAGGCUCCUGCUUGCAGGGGUACUCGAGUGGCGAACGGGUGAGUAACACGUGGGUGAUCUGCCCCGCACUUCGGGAUAAGCCUGGGAAACUGGGUCUAAUACCGGAUAGGACCACUUCUUGGAGGUUGUGGUGGAAAGUUUUUCGGUGUGGGAUGAG
RNAcentral lists this ribosomal RNA (200 nucleotides) under uncultured bacterium. RNAcentral describes it as "partial 16S ribosomal RNA". It matches the Rfam family "Bacterial small subunit ribosomal RNA", at positions 28 to 229 of the family's 1533-position model. The record is from RNAcentral.